RNAcentral lists this ribosomal RNA (301 nucleotides) under uncultured bacterium. RNAcentral's name for it is "partial 16S ribosomal RNA". It matches the Rfam family "Bacterial small subunit ribosomal RNA", at positions 509 to 807 of the family's 1533-position model. The record is from RNAcentral.
CAGUAGCCGCGGUAAUACAGAGGGUGCGAGCGUUAAUCGGAUUUACUGGGCGUAAAGCGUGCGUAGGCGGCUUCUUAAGUCGGAUGUGAAAUCCCUGAGCUUAACUUAGGAAUUGCAUUCGAUACUGGGAAGCUAGAGUAUGGGAGAGGAUGGUAGAAUUCCAGGUGUAGCGAUGAAAUGCGUAGAGAUCUGGAGGAAUACCGAUGGCGAAGGCAGCCAUCUGGCCUAAUACUGACGCUGAGGUACGAAAGCAUGGGGAGCAAACAGGAUUAGAUACCCCCGUAGUCCCUGUCUCUUAUAC